This 253-nucleotide ribosomal RNA is filed under the name uncultured bacterium. Its description in RNAcentral is "partial 16S ribosomal RNA". It matches the Rfam family "Bacterial small subunit ribosomal RNA", at positions 524 to 776 of the family's 1533-position model. The record is from RNAcentral.
UACGUAGGGUGCAAGCGUUGUCCGGAAUUAUUGGGCGUAUAGAGCUCGUAGGCGGUCUGUUGCGUCGGCUGUGAAAACCCGGGGCUCAACCCCGGGCCUGCAGCCGAUACGGGCAGACUAGAGUUCGGCAGGGGAGACUGGAAUUCCUGGUGUAGCGGUGAAAUGCGCAGAUAUCAGGAGGAACACCGGUGGCGAAGGCGGGUCUCUGGGCCGAUACUGACGCUGAGGAGCGAAAGCGUGGGGAGCGAACAGG